CUGCUGUAAGAGAUUUCUUUUAGAAAUAAGCAGUUCCUUUGUGUCGUAUUUCCGUGUUAAUUGUAUCUUUAUAUCUCAUAUGUACUAUCAGAGAAGUUGA
Aricia agestis (brown argus) is the source of this 100-nucleotide long non-coding RNA. RefSeq lists it as uncharacterized. NCBI's taxonomy places the organism in Eukaryota, Metazoa, Arthropoda, Insecta, Lepidoptera, Lycaenidae. The transcript has 3 exons. The record is from RefSeq and is a predicted model, not a curated record.